CUACGGGAGGCAGCAGUGGGGAAUAUUGGACAAUGGGCGCAAGCCUGAUCCAGCAAUACCGCGUGUGUGAAGAAGGCCUGCGGGUUGUAAAGCACUUUCAAUUGGGAAGAAAAGCCUGAGGCUAAUAUCCUCGGGUCUUGACGUUACCUUAGAAGAAGCACCGGCUAACGCCGUGCCAGCAGCCGCGGUAAUACGGAGGGUGCGAGCGUUAAUCGGAAUUACUGGGCGUAAAGCGCGCGUAGGCGGCUUGUUAAGUCAGAUGUGAAAGCCCCGGGCUCAACCUGGGAACUGCAUUUGAUACUGGCAGGCUAGAGUGUGGUAGAGGGAAGUGGAAUUCCAGGUGUAGCGGUGAAAUGCGUAGAUAUCUGGAGGAACAUCAGUGGCGAAGGCGACUUCCUGGACCAACACUGACGCUGAGGUGCGAAAGCGUGGGUAGCAAACAGGAUUAGAUACCCCAGUAGUC
RNAcentral lists this ribosomal RNA (463 nucleotides) under uncultured bacterium. RNAcentral's name for it is "partial 16S ribosomal RNA". It matches the Rfam family "Bacterial small subunit ribosomal RNA", at positions 339 to 795 of the family's 1533-position model. The record is from RNAcentral.